Syzygium oleosum is the source of this 126-nucleotide small nucleolar RNA. The record is from RefSeq and is a predicted model, not a curated record. NCBI's taxonomy places the organism in Eukaryota, Viridiplantae, Streptophyta, Magnoliopsida, Myrtales, Myrtaceae.
AAGCAAAGGCAUCGAUUUAAAAUCGAUGGCGCAAAUUGCAUUGAAGGUUGGUGAUAAAUCAGCGAUUCUCCAUGCCUAUCAAAUCUCUUUUGGUUUUGAUUAUGGCCUCGAACAAGUUGCUACAUU